This 411-nucleotide unclassified non-coding RNA is filed under the name soil metagenome. Its description in RNAcentral is "partial contains 5.8S ribosomal RNA, internal transcribed spacer 2, and large subunit ribosomal RNA". The stretch from base 1 to 121 matches the Rfam family "5.8S ribosomal RNA", at positions 35 to 154 of the family's 154-position model. The record is from RNAcentral.
GAUGAAGAACGUAGCGAAAUGCGAUAAGUAGUGUGAAUUGCAGAAGUACCGUGAAUCAUCGAAUCUUUGAACGCAAAUUGCACUCUCUGGUAUUCCGGGGAGUAUGCCUGUUUGAGGGUCGCUUAACAAACCAUCGAUUUCGUUGCUUUUUUUUAAAGAGUGAUGUUUAUCGGAUUUGAGCCGUCUUUUUUUUUUAUAUUUAAAAGUGGCUUAAAAUUGAUUUUUUUGGUACGAUCGAAGCGUAUUUUUAUGAUCAAUUUUUGGUUAAAGAAACGCACACGUACCGUUAUUUAUAUGAUGUAAUACGUUUGACUAUUGGAUUUAGUUCAUUCGUAUACGAUAUCUUUCAAUAUUUGACCUCAAAUCAGGUAAGAACACCCGCUGAACUUAAGCAUAUCAAUAAGCGGAGGA